AUUUCUGAAAAUGUAUUCCACAAAAACAGAGUGUUCAUAUAGUUGCAUCACAUUUAGGAUUGAGUCUAGGAUGUUUCAUAUAGGAUUGUCGCAUAUGCAUUGGGGAUUAUGAUGAGAUAGCCUUGUAAGCAUUUUUGUUCAUCGUUUCUAGUUGUCUGAUGUGUAGUCAAUGAAAUUGAAGUAAAACUGCACCAUGUCUUGAAUGCUCUACUCGAUCACACUGUUAUUAUCUGAUACCAUUCCCUAUCAAUUUGAACCUGAAUCUGACUUGCAAUUAUCAUGUCUUAGCAUCGAAUUUGAACUCAUGGAUACCAUAUACAUACUUGGGUU
RNAcentral lists this small RNA (330 nucleotides) under Arabidopsis thaliana (thale cress). RNAcentral's name for it is "ATSL162890". The record is from RNAcentral. Lineage: Eukaryota; Viridiplantae; Streptophyta; Magnoliopsida; Brassicales; Brassicaceae.